RNAcentral lists this ribosomal RNA (264 nucleotides) under uncultured bacterium. Its description in RNAcentral is "partial 16S ribosomal RNA". It matches the Rfam family "Bacterial small subunit ribosomal RNA", at positions 524 to 784 of the family's 1533-position model. The record is from RNAcentral.
GACAGAGGGUGCGAACGUUUGUUCGGAAUUACUGGGCGUAAAGCGCAUGUAGGCGGCAGCGCAAGUCGGGCGUGAAAUCCCACGGCUCAACCGUGGAAGUGCACUCGAAACUGCGCAGCUAGAGUCCUGGAGAGGAAGGUGGAAUGCUUGGUGUAGAGGUGAAAUUCGUAGAUAUCAAGCGGAACACCGGUGGCGAAGGCGGCCUUCUGGACAGUGACUGACGCUGAGAUGCGAAAAGCGUGGGGAGCAAACAGGGAUUAAGAA